AUUCGCACUACAAUGGUCGGGCGACGCGGUGCGGCCAGUAGAAACGAUUGAAAAAAAAACUGUAAUCGUUAAGAAUAACCUGGAUGUAGAAGUAAUUAUUGACGAGUAGGCAUUUUCCGCCAGUUUGAUGUAAACAGCCACAGAAGAGUGGGAGAUGAGGAAUAGUGAAAAUGAAAAAGCAGCUAGACGAAAAUAUUUAUAAAACGCUAUUGAGAUAGUCCACCGAGGAAGAAAACGUUUGUGGGGUUUAUGCUUUUUCUAGUGGAUAACCAGAUGGUUUUGUCUAUCUACCGCAAUUGAUAAGACCUUUAUUACUCACAUCGCUACCACUCGCAUGUGAAAAGAUUCACUAACUACGAUUACAGCGAGGGAUUGGCAGCCCUGUAGCGCAAGCAAUCGACCAACACGGUUAGUUAGUGAAACCCAGUAAAGAACUGGAUCGACUUCUUAAUAAUCGGGGAGUGUUUAUAGUAUAUAUUGUAUAGCUCCAAAUGACCAUUGGGCACAGAACCGGGAUUUUUUUGUUACGUCAAUUGUUUUGCUUUAAACAUUAUGUUGCAAUUGUUGACAACUUUUUGUUGUGAUGCCGAGUACUUAACGAGGUACUUAAUUUGUCGACAUUUUCUAACAAGGUUAUAAACAAAAUUGCAAAAUGUUUCGGUAAUUACCUGCUAUACGUAAUUAAUUGUUUUAUGAUCGCCUUGAUCGCCUUCGCUUACGUAGGGACAGACACUGUUGUUGUAGUAUUGUUUCCAAAUUGGAGACAUAGGCAAUUAUUAUUAAUUGAUAAGUAUCCCAUUCUGCUUGCAAGCGUUCUUCUAGAUAACUAAAUAACAAGAAUAAUCUUGAUUUCAAUUUUAAUAUAUACGAUGAGUUGCGGAGAACGUAACUCAAAAGGACUCUUGAGCUGAUUUAUACACCAAUAUAUUUUUUGUUUGUAUACAUUUCAGGCUUUCGGUAGCUCCAAACCUAAAAAAAGAAAAGAAAUCUGACAUUUUCAGAGACAUUUUGAACUACUAAGUCAAAAGAUACGCAAUAGUAAGGUCAGCAAUUAAAAAUCUUAGAUUUUUUGAAAAGUUAUUCCAUUAAAACUACUGUAUAACUAAGCCAAGUCAUACUCAAACGAACGCUUGAAACUGGCAGUUCUAUAAUGUGGAACAGAAACUCCAUAAAAAUUACGAAAUUUAGAGUGUCUACAUCAGUCCUGAAAGUUAUUUUUUCUACUCCCGUCUGUAAAAUAUCUAAUUAUCCACCGACCUAGCGUGUGGCAAGCGUCACUUUACCACGUAAAUUUCGUGGCCCACGAAUCCGAGCCACUUCGGACAUUUCCGGGAUUUUACCGCACGGAUUUGGAAGCAAUGGGAUGUUUUCGGAGAUAUUUCCAACGCUCUGAAUUUUGACGUUUGUCAAUUCUGACAGUCGUGUCGUGUUGUUUCACGAAAAUGUACCCAAAAACUAACGGUCGCAGAAAAAGAAUAGUAUGCAACACGUUUGGUAAACUUUUUAACUCACUAAUAUACUAUUUUCUACUACUGUAAAAUACCUCUCAUGAAAUAUAUCUCUCCAAAAUAUAUCUGGAAUUAUAUGCAUGUCUGAAUGCAGAUUGAAAGAUAUAAUGGCAAGUGGAAAUGUUUUCACUUUUUGAUAAAGGAAUUAGAGAAUAUCAGUGUAGUACAAGACUAAUUGCAUACUGCAAAUUAAACAGGGUGACAUUACAUACACUCUAUAGCAUUGCUCGUUUUGCUUAUAUUACAUUUGAUGACGACAAUGGUUAUACCGAUACCAAUAUCUGAGUGUCUGACCGCUUGGGUGUACUAUCGGUCACAAUUUAUUGAGGUCAGACUAAGGUGUGACAAAUGUAACAGAUACAUUGUCCCAAUCGGAAAAUUGUUGUAUCGACAAUGUACUCAACAUAUCAUUAGGCGUGUAAAACCACGCCAUUUAACUAUGUGAACUAAUUCCGUCGUAGAAAACAUUAAAAUUGGACCUGAAAUUGGCCGUUUCAUUUCGUUAAAGCAGUCAUGACGUAACGAACUACAACCGUUUCUAAUAAUGUUUUUAGAAUUUUGUUUUUGUAACAAUUUAAACUGUCGGAGGUAAAAAAGUUUUGCAAAUUUUCAUACUUGUAUACUAUGCAUAAUGUAGAAACCCUACAUUUUUUGUAGGGUUAGUGAAAUAUAAAAAAUAGGUAAGAGGAGAAAAAAAUGAAAAAGUAAGAUUUAAAUUUAAAUCUUUGGUAUAGUGAUUUGAUAAACUUCAAGGUAUUUAGAUUUGGUUGUAUAUUGUUUUCUUUCUUAUUUGUCUUUAAAGUGAUUAGUUUUGGCUUGAAUUGAAAACUAAUUAUUACAAUUAAGAUUUCUAUCUAAAAUACCAUUAUUUGCUAAGUAAAAAUGUAUUCUAUUCUACUUAUUAAACAACGGCAAAGCGCUCGUCGAUUACUCGCCGCAAUGUAACAAAGAAAAAGGCAAUUUUUCAUCGUUGAUUAAAUUUGUUAUGACUGCGACGUGAAGACCACUCAAGCCCGCGUAGGUCGAGGCAUAAAACGACAGAUUGGAUUACGGGAGUUGCAACAGCAGAGGUAUAAACAUAGAUAACAUUUUUGAUAUAAAAUUACCGAAGACAAAAUAACAUCGGUAUCGAAUGAUACUGAAACCGACUGCGCAGAGUGCGUUCACCUUUCGAAUGUAAAUUAAACAGUAUUUGAUACGACUUGACUGUUAAAAAUCUAACCAUGAAUGAAUGGAAGCUUUGUACCAAUGGAACGGUGUUGGUACGGGAGCUUCUGAUACGAAGGUUUUUUUCGUCUGAUCGACGUUUGCCGCGACUGAUAAGAUAAAGCGGGAAAACCCUUUUAAUAUUAUAACUAGCGCACCUUGAGUUUGAUGUAUCGACGUAGCUAGCAAGGUGAGGAGAGGCUGAAUUUUGUCGGAAAUUAAAGCUAUUUAGUCAAAUAGUUAUUUAUUUCCCAACUAUGAGAAAAAACGUUAAUGCGCAAGUGGAGCACAGUUAAUCAAUUAUCAUCAAUGCGAAGCCAAGCAAUUUUUAAACGUGAUUUUCUUCCCGAAAGUGUCUGUGUGACUAGCGGUACAGUAAGCUUUUAUUUCUAUUGAUUAUAUCGAAAUUUUCAUCAUUCAAAAUCAGAUAAAAUGUGUCGUCUCAAUAUAAAACAAAUAGGUUACUGUUUACUAGUCCACAAUUCUACAUUCAUGUGUGAAUUUAGUUUAAUGAAGGUGUUUUAUAAACCCUGCUGUAUCUGAAAGUGGAUGAAAAAUGGAAAAAUGGCUUACAGAUAUACAGAGAUAAAAUUUUUCUACGAACUUGUUGAAUGAUUUGGCAUUAAUCUCUAAAGAAACAGCCUCGUCUUUUUCACUAUUUUUUAGAAGAUGGUAAUUCCGUCAACACCGACAAAGUAUAAUUAUUUUCUAAAUUCUACCCAAAAAAUAUAGAGCUGAUUAAAAUUGAGCGCAAAUUCAUCAUUUCAUUUCCCCUUUCUUUUAGGUAAUUUAACAAAUGAAAAAGUUUAAAAAAUUAGAGUGGUUUAUAUUUUUUAAUAUAUACAUUACAUCACACUUCAA
This is a long non-coding RNA of Cylas formicarius (sweet potato weevil), 3575 nucleotides long. RefSeq lists it as uncharacterized. Lineage: Eukaryota; Metazoa; Arthropoda; Insecta; Coleoptera; Brentidae. The transcript has 3 exons. The record is from RefSeq and is a predicted model, not a curated record.